AUGAAGACAAAAGAAGUUACAGAGGGAGAUUCUGCCACUCAGCACAUUGGUAUUGCCAAACCACAGCGAUAUGAUCAAAUACUCUGGAGGUUUGGACCUCAAGGCUCUCUCAUCACUCAGAUUCCUUUAAGGAACAAAGAGACCUUACCUGAAGAUGACGAGAGAUUAACCAUAGAUCUUCUCUAUGUGGACUCACUUCGAUUCUCAGAGGGAGAAGAUGUCACUCUAGACACCGGUGUUAGUGAACUACAGAGGGACGAUCAGAUUCUCUGGAGCUUUAAAUCUGAAGACACUAUUAUAGCUAAAAGAGAUGGAGACACCAAUCAGGUUUUAAAUGAUGCUGAUGGUGGGAGAUUCAGAGACAGACUGCAGAUGGAUGAUCAGACUGGAUCUCUCACCAUCACAAACACCAAAACCACAGACUCUGGAGUCUAUCACCUUCAAAUCAGCAGCAGAAAUAAAGUCUCAUAUCAGAAGUUUUCUGUGUGCUGUGAGUAUAGCUUGAUAAUUUAACAAUGAAAUGAUCAUAUUUUUGCUAAUAUCCAGUUUUCAGUGAACUGAGAUGUUCACCUGAAUACUCAUAUUUUCUGUUGCAUGUGCUGCCGUGACAUGAAGUGGACACAGUAAAAGUGAGAGCGGGAGGCUCCAUCACUCUGAACACUGAUGUUACUGAACCAGAGGAUGAUAAUGACACCGGCCUUGCUGAAAUCAGCCAAGUCAGCAGUAAGACCUCAGUGAAUCAUGGUAAUGAUGUGAGAUUCAGAGACAGACUGCAGCUAGGGCAUGCAGAUUUGCAUGUUUUGUUUUUCACUAUAGGAGAACACAAUACAAUGCAUUUUUCAGAAUGGAGAUUCUUAAAAGCAAAGAUUACUGAGAUGAGAUGGGAAAGUCAGAUGACUGGCAAACUAAUUUUGCUGCUAUAAUUGUUGAAAAAUCAACCUCUUAAAUAAGGAGACUAAUUCAUCUAGAUGUAUUUCAUGUUACUAUAUGGCCCAGCCUGUUGAACGUGCAGUGGGACCAAGAUGUUCAUCUCCACACAUUUCUCUCUUUCUCUUCUAUAACGCUGCUGUGACAGAUGAAGAAAACAAAGUGUCAGUGAUGGAGGGAGAUCGUGCCAAACUAAACACUGAUGUUAGUGAACUACAGAGAGACGCUCUGAUACUCUGGAUGUUCGGCUCCAGAGACGGUCUUAUAGCUAAAGCUGAUAUGGAGAACAAUAGGAUAUCUAUAUAUGAUGGUGCUGAUGGCAGAUACAGGGACAGACUGGAGCUGGACCGUCAGACUGGAUCUCUGAGCAUCACAAACACCACAUGCACAGAGACCAAAUCCAAGCUAUUCAGAGUUACUGUUUCUGGUGAUGAGCUCAGAUUUGUGAUUAUUAUAAUAUGAUCUUAUUUAGAUCAGAUGCUUUAAAAUGCACACAACUUUCCACUAAAUUAAAACAAACUUCAGCGGUUCACGUUCUAUAUCAGUUUCCCAGUGUUAAAAAUAAAACAUCUGAACAGCCUAUAUAUGUAUAAAAA
Molecule: long non-coding RNA, 1523 nt
Organism: Cyprinus carpio (common carp)
Lineage: Eukaryota; Metazoa; Chordata; Actinopteri; Cypriniformes; Cyprinidae
Source: Ensembl